Mytilus californianus (California mussel) is the source of this 21188-nucleotide long non-coding RNA. RefSeq lists it as uncharacterized. Lineage: Eukaryota; Metazoa; Mollusca; Bivalvia; Mytilida; Mytilidae. The transcript is spliced from 15 exons. The record is from RefSeq and is a predicted model, not a curated record.
UUAAAAAUAGUUCGGGAUGUGCGUCGCCAGUGUUGCGUUAGUUGGAAAGAACACAGGACCUAUUUUAAACAGAUUGAUACCAUGAUGUAUCGAAAUACGAGUUUCUAAGCUUUUGUUUUAAUUUUGGACACUUAAUAUUGUUAAACAGAACUUUUUUAUAGACUGGACGAUAACCGAUUCAAUUCAUUUUAGUUUUAAUUCGAGGAAAUUUGAUAGAAAAGAACAAUUUUUGACAAUCCAAGAUGGCGCCCACAGAAAUCUCCGUAAACGAAUCUUCAGUUGUGCUGAAUUUACUGCGUCGCGUACGAACAAAGAAAAGAACUGUAAAUGGGAAAGAUUUUCAAUAUCGGGCGAAAGCUCUAUUACAGUCCACGGAGUUGAAGUUAUUAUUGGAUCUACAAAAACUUGGUAAAAAAUUGGCGAAACGGGAAGGUGAAAAUGUCGGAAAAGAAAUAUCGGUUAUUGAUGAGGGUAACAUAAAAUCAGGUGGUAACGACGAUAUUUUAUCUUUAAAUUCAUUUUUUGAGAAGCUUUAUAAUUCAUAGUAUUCAUUUAAUUGACCGUUUAAAAGUUUUCCCACCAAACGUGUUCACAAUUUCGCGAUAUGUAUUUGUUAUAUUUUGUUAGUUUUUGAAUAAAAUAUGUUAUUUAUUAUAUACUUGGUUGCAUCGUCAAUUUAAAUCAUAUAUAUAUUAUUUUAUCAGCUUUCAAGCCUUCAUGAAGACUGGCCAAUAUGUCCAAGUUUGUGUAUAGAGAAGUGUAGGAAGCUUUAUCCAUGUUAUCUGCUUGCCGUCCAUUCUAUAAUUUUCCACACAGUCCAAAGGAAAUAUUGUGGGAUGACAUGGUCUCCAUUCAAGAGUAUUUUUGAGAUAAGUUGGUCGCCAACAAGAUCUGAUUACUCACAGUUCACUGGUCCUAUGUGUAUUUGUGCCACUGACGGGUGUGAUACUGUACAUGUUGCUUGUAUAAGAAGGUUGGAUUCCUGCUUUUGUUCGGGUUUUCAACGUGAAAAUCAGUAAGAUAAAGUAUGAAUUCAUUUUUUUUUUAAAUAUUUUAUUUUUACCAUAAUUGCAACAGUUGAAAGAGACGAUGAAUGUUGAAACUUUAUUUAAAAAGUGUAUACAAGGGAUUUCAUAAAUAGACAGUUCCAAUUGCUUGCCAUGAAGAGAUGACUAUUAACCAAGGGAUUGAGGGAGGAAUGCCUUUAAAGGUUCAAGUCUUGCUGCAGUUGACUUUAAAAGCCUGAAUGUUCAAAUGAACAAUUACUUGUCCUAUAAAAGUAUGCAGUCUUUACUCUGAAGCAAGAAUCUUUACAUGUUGGUAAACAAGACUGGAUUUCUUUCAUAGACUUGGUACUUUGUUCUUCCUAUAGCUGUGUCAUGGCAACAUGGGAUGAAAGACUGGGUUUUCCUUAAACUGUUAAGAAAAUGAACAACAUGCAUAACUGAUGUUGAAAUAACUGGUAGUUUAUACAAGUAAAAAUUUAGUACUAGUUUGUGUCAUUUAUCAACUAAUGAGCAGUGGUUUGUAAUGUAUCAGUCAUUUUUUUUUUAACAUUUAUUUAUCGUUUUCAAGCUGUAUGAAAAUUUGACAAGAAAAGAAUUAGGAUAUGUAAAAUCCAUUAUUGAAAAAUUUUGAAUUAAGUGGAAUUAUAUCAAACAUUGAGAUUACUUCCUCCUGUUCCAUAUUGAGUUUAAAUAAUGUAAAAUUUGCUUUGGGGGAUUUUCACAUUUUCAAUAUACAUGUACAUGUAGAUAAUUUUUAUGUUCUUCAAAGCAUGGUAUGAUAGCAAUGUUUUUCAGCUAACUCCACCUGGAAUGUACAAUUGAAGAUUUCAAAAUUGUAGACCUCUUUGUACGAAUGUAUUAAACUUUUAUUCAUUUUCAUUUCCUUUGGGGAAAGGUGACUGAAACCAAAGAGGAGGCCAAAUAAUAACCUUGCACAGCACUUAAUAAGUAUUGCAAUUCAACUUGACUUGACACGAGAAAAUUCUUCAAUUUACUGCUCAAGAGUCCAUUCAUACGGUAUUACCAAAGACUUGAAUUUGCAACAUUAUUCCUAACUGGGUUCUGUCUUCGCCUUCAAAGUAGUGACGGGGAAGAGUUAAAAAGUGGACUACGAUGCAUCAUCCAGUACGACACUUGUUGGCUGUCCUCAAUCAUUUGGUUUCUUUUGAAUGAACAAUUUGUCUGCUGAAAUAAGAUAAAACCUGGAAGGUAAAAGUAAGGUACAUGUUGUUUGUGUGUAAAUUGACCAGAUAUUUCACUCAUUAAUGAAAUAAUAUUUUUAAACACGAUGAUUCACAAUUGAAAAUCAACAUUGAAACAGAUUUUAAAUUGCAAGUAAGAUGUGUUCCUCGUUCAAAAAUUUAGAUAAGUGCAGUUGAUGCUAUUUUUUUUCUCCUACAUCAAAUUACCAAUACAUAUUCUUUUAAAUGCUCAACCUCAGAACUAGUAUUGAUCCAAAGUGGUGUAAGGGUGGUUAAAAAAUGAAAGUAAGAAAUGCAGAAAUUCAUUUAUUGCCUUGGCAAAAUGGAAAGCCAGAGGACUUUCUAGAAACAAAGUGUGAAUUGAGAGAAGUAAAUAUUUUAUAAAACAUUAUUUUUGGCUUUGUAACAAAAUAUAUGGAAAAGCCUUUGAAAACUCUCCAUUUAAAAUAGUAUGUCAUUUGCCAGAACUUUCACCUGUGUAUCACAUAGAGUUAUUAUAACCUUUGACCUUCAUAAGACUUUAUUACAGUCCACACAUUCUUAAGGAUGAAGUACACGUUAGUAUACAAUAGCUGAAUAUUUACAUAAGACUUGAUGAACUCGUGCUGUUGUUUAGAGAAGGUGAAAGACUGUUGGUCCUUGAUGUACCCUUGCUGUUGAUAACAGAAAGGUGAAAGGCUGUUGUUCGUCCUAAAAGUUUUAACCAGAAUUUGAUGAGUUCGGUUUGUAGAGAUUUUGAAUUUAUAUGUUAUUUGUACUGUAUCUGAUUGAGGAUAGACUGAUAAAAAACAUUUUAAAUUUCAAAUAGCAAUUCCAUUUUGUCAAUUGACACAUGCACACCUAGCAACAAAAAAAAAUCAAAUUUAUGUCGGUCUCUCUAAAUUUAAAAAUUAGUUUUAAAAGCUUAUAACUAUCCUGGUUUUUUAUAAAUAAAAAAAAUUCUUAAAUGAAGCUGAUUUGGUCAAAAGACCACCUGUUAAUAGUAAUUCUACAUACAGAGAUCACCACUGAAAAAUUGCAAGGAUGGCACUGAUAUUGUUGUACCUUUCGACACAACAAUUGAAACUUUAUCUUUCUAAAUUGAUGAAUAUUCAAUGUAGUCUUCAUGAAAUAGUUUUUUAACUUGAGGUAAUAUAAAUUAUAAUCCAAAUAAAAAGGUUUGUGCUGAGCAAGUCUUUGAGGAGUACCACUCUUGCAUAUCAUAUGGUGAUCCCUGUACACGUCGAAACUAGAUUUGUAUUAAACCUUACUUUUGAAAUAACAUAUUUGAAUUGCAGCAUAAUUUAUAAAACUUCAGAAAAUGAUGUAAUAUGUGAAGAGCUCUUGUGUCUCCAUUACUGUCUUUUCUCUUUUAAUCUGUGGGAAUUACCUAGUUGCAGCCAGCCAUAAACUCUGCUUGCAUAAUUAUCCAGAGUAGACUAAUCCAAAGGUUGAAAGCUUCUGCCAUUGACAUGUCCACACUGGCUUAUUUAUUGUCCUCAACAUUAUGAAGUGCAGAUGUAUGUAGUCCCAUCCAAUAUAAGCUUUUCCACAACUCUCCUAGAGGAAGGUUGAGUCCCAGACUUUUAUUUGGUGCUGCCUGCUUCCUGCUGAAAUUUAUAAUAGAAUGAGACAUGAAGGUAAACUCAGAGUUUUGUUUGUGUUCAGUAAUGAGUCAUUAGACUAUAUAAUUUGUUCAAUAGAGAUAAUUUUUCACUGAAAAGAAUAUUUUAUAUGAUCAUUUUCAAAACACUUCAAUAUUUAAUGAGAUGUAUAAUUUAGAAAAAAUGGUGCAAGUGUACUAUUUCUUUUCUUUCUUAAAUAACUACUGACACCUGGAUUUCAAAGUCUGGGAGGAACUGUGCUGUCGAAAAAUUUGAAGUUGCAGACACUUUGUUCUGAUUUUUUCCCUUACAAUUAUGGAUCAGUUGAUACAAGUGAAGUGAUUGCAGUGCAGUAAAGCAAAAAAUUGUGUGACCUGUUCUUGACCCAUGGCCAUCUCCAUGUUUCCAAUGAUCUAUAUGGAAGAUUUCAUGGAUCCACACUUUGUUGUUUGGUUUUGUUUAUUGAGGACACAUAAUUGACUUCAUGAACCCCCGAAGACUGUCCAGUAGAAUGAAGGCUUGAAGGUACAAUACUGAUAAAUGAAGAUUUAACACCAUGGUGAAAAACUUAACUAGCUCAAAAGCAGGUACCCUUAAUAAUUGUUCAGUUUGUUGCUGUUAUAAGGAGAGAUCUACAGAUCCUUCAUAGUAUUCAUCUUGAAGUGUAUACCAAAAAAAAAUGAGUCGUCAACCCAUCUAAUUAAAAAAUAAAUCCUAUGUCCAUGCUUCGCUUGCAAUGGUCUUGACAAUUUUUUACUCUCCAUUCUGAUAACAACAACCAAUGGAAUGUCUGCCUCCAAUUUUUUAAGGUGUGUACCAUCACUACAAAAGCUAAGGAUCGUGAAUGGUUGUUUAAACAGAAAGUAGAAUGGAGAAUUUUCAGAUCCUUAAGUGCAGUAUGGACAGGGAUCUGUAUUUUAAUCAGAUUUACAAGUCAACAAAAAAAAAAAUACCAUCAAAAACAGAAUUAUUACACAUGAUAUACAAGAAAAAGAUCCACACACUGAAGUUGUAAGCAUGUCAUUGACGCAUUUUAUUGCUACCUUGAAAGCAAAUAAAAAAAAAAUCGGAUGCCUGUUCUUCAUAGUAAAUAUUACUGUCCUGAAUGAGCUACAUGUAGAUUUAUGACCCAAUGUUCAGUAAGUGUAAUGGCAUCUUCACAAAAAAUAUCACACAAGUGUCAAUUUAUUCAGCUUAUCAGGAAGUUAAUGUUUUCAAAGUUACCAUUUAUGUUAAUUUUACAUUAAAUAAAUAUCUAGUAAAUCAAAAGGUAAAUUUCUUAAAAUUAUAAUUUCUGCAGGUUUUAUUUAGUCAAAAUAGACUGGAAUUAAUUAUGCAGAUAGCAUUUUGAACACACUAACAUUUUCAUAAACUAAAAAUAUGACACUUCUGUUGUAAAUUUUGUCUAAAAUUACAUUUUAUUGGUAAACUUUCAAAAUCGCACAGAUAGGGUUGAGGCUGCGUUCAUGAAUCUGCCUUCCAAUUUGUUGGUAAAAAAAACCUUAUGCAUGUAAUAUUUGCCACGAAAUGUUUUAAUAACAUUCCAUCUUAUCUUUCGGUCCAAUAUGUAAAAAAAAAACCAUAAUUCAUAGUUUGGACAUUUUGAACUUCACAAGGUUUCCUCUUAUUUGUAUAAAAUGACAUGAGCAUUGUGAUUUUCUUUGUUGUGGUAGCUUUAAUUUUUUGGCUCUUAAUUUAAGUCUUGAUCAGUGAACUUCAAUAAAGAGCACCUUUCUGUCAACUGUAAAUUAAAUUCUCCAUGAAUUUUAGAUGUGGUAUUUAUGUCAAUCAGACAACAAUGUUGAAGGUUUAAGGUGGCUAUUAAAGUAUCUGCGUUUUCAUCUUGGAGAAAUCAUCAUUAGUUUGGUACUGGUAUGCAGACAAGGAGUUGAUUGAUGUUCAUUAUAUUCAUACAUUCAUAGUUGCUCAAUAGAGGCACAAAUAUUGGCCUGUAUUCCACAUUGUGACCACAUGCAGCAACAAAAACAUGUACACAGAUCUGGUACUGGAAAUGAAAAGUAAGAUAAGCCUCGGAUUUGCUACUUAAUUCAAAAGGCCAAUGUGGGACUUUGGGAUACACACAACUUUAUUAUAUAAUUAUUUAUAAUCCUUAUUUUUGAUGUUUGCCACCAAAUUUGGUAAUAACCAUUUUUUUUGUGAACAUUGCAAAUGUUGAGAUAAUUGUGACAAAAACUUGAAACACGUCAUCCUAUAGGGUCAACUGGAAAAGACCAAUUCCAUCUAAACUUUUGUCUAACACAUUAUUAUGAACAAGUCUCGCAGAAAAACAUGGUCAAGAACUGAUCCAUUUGGAAAUGUAGUAAAAAGUAGAGUGAAAUUCACUAAGGGUGCGAUUUAUUGGGCUAUUUUAAGGGAAGAGGGUCAUGGGCAUAUAUCUAGGUGAGCAUUACCAGCUCAGAGCCUCUUUGCUGUUAAGAAGAAAGUGCAGGUUAUGUUGGGAUUGCCAAUAGUUUGAAUAACAUCUGUCAUUCCAUCUCCAGAAACCAAAAGGCACUUUCAGGAAGUAAUAUAUUUUGAAAGUACAGAGUGAAAAAAAAAACACCUGUUGAUACAAAUAAAAGCACUCAACACACAUCACCACACUGGUAUAUAAACUUGCAAGUGCAUAAUGCAGCUUUACAGAGUGAACAAAAAAAAUGACAACACAAUUGGGUACAGGAUGUGGAAUGGACAAAUGCUUAAGGCUUUUUCAUGUAUUGGUAAUGAGUGUUGCAUGGUAUAUUGGUAUACAGAUGCCAAUGAUAAUAUACUGGUAAUGAAAUGAAUUUUGGUAUUAGUAUGAUGAUGGAACAAUAUGGUAGGAUGAUGGUGAAUGAAUGGUUAAUGUACUCCAGGAAGCCUUCUUUGAAAAAAUUACAAAGAUAGUAAGCCAUGGUAUACACUAAGGUAUGUGAAUGGAAUGCUAUUGUGAAAAUAACAAAAAAAAAGGGUCAUAUUCAAAUUAUGAAGUUAAACUUAUUUGUCAAGAAAAAACUUUAAAACAAUGGCCACGGCUAGUGAACAGGAAAAAAAAAAAACUUUAAAAAUAUUUUCAUUAAUAUAUUUUCUAUGAAAAUUUUGGAAACCAUGUACCAAAAAAGUUAAAACAUCUAUCACCAUGGAUCAAGCAUCAGGAAACUAAUAAAAACAUUCAAAAUGGCAAAUCAAAUGUUUCUAAAAAUUCCGAGGUUACUCAAAAAUUCUUGUCAAAAUGUUGAACUUUUGUUUCUCAAACUCUACCAGAGAGAGCAUAUCAAUUAUUCAAAAAGAUGCCAGGCUGACUAUCAUCAACCACUAAAUUCACUUCAAGUUGCAAAAUUCAUGAUGGUACAUGGUGUUCCAACUGAAAAACUGAUGCUACAACCAACCAAACAGACACAUUGAAAUGGUGCAGCAAGAUGGAUGACUCUGAAGACUAGGGACCAACCAAACAACAAACUGAGUUAGUGUGUGAUGUGUGCGGGGACUGACCAAAACCUGAUUACAGAAGAGAAUGUGGUGAAGCAAAAAUUGAAUAAUUUGUAAAGGCAGCAUGAAUUAAAAAUUUAAAAAGCAACACAGAAUGAGGUAAUUUUUAGCAUAGUUUCUUUACAUGUAUUUCUUUGCAAGUUGUUGAAUUUUUGUCUCACCACAAACUCCAUCAGAGAAGACUACAGAUCAACUACUCAAAAGGAGCCAUGCUGACGAUCAACCACUGAACCAACUCAAAAUUAGAGAAUUCAAGAUGGUACAUGGUGUUCCAACUGACCAACUGAUGCUACAACCAACUAACCAACCAAACAGACACAUGGAAAUGGUGCAGCAAGAUGGAUGCCUUUGGUGACUAGGGACCAACCGAUAAACCAGACAACAAACAGAUAUGGUGUGUGAUGUGUGAGGGGACUGUGACCAAAAUCUGAUUAGAGGACAGAAUGUGGUGAAGCAAAAAUUUGAUAAUUUGUAAAGGCAGAAUGAAUUGAAAAUUUAAAAAGCAACACAGAAUGAGGUAAUUUUGAGCAUAGUUUCUUUACAUGUAUUUCUUUGCAAGUUGUUGAAUUUUUGUCUCACCACAAACUCAACCAGAGACGACUACAGAUCAACUACUCAAAGGAAGCCAUGCUGAUGAUAAACCACUGAACCAACUCAAAAUUAGAGAAUUCAAGAUGGUACAUGGUGUUCCAACUGACCAACUGAUGCUACAACCAACCAACCAAACAGACACAUGGAAACGGUGCAGCAAGAUGGAUGCCUUUGGUGACUAGUGACCAACUGAUGGACCAACCAAUAAAGCAGACAACAAACAGAUAUGGUGUGUGAUGUGUGAGGGGACUGUGACCAAAACCUGAUUAGAGGACAGAAUGUGGUGAAGCAAAAAUUUAAUAAUUUGUAAAGGCAGCAUGAAUUGAAAAUUUAAAAAGCAACACAGAAUGAGGUAAUUUUUAGCAUAGUUUCUUUACAUGUAUUUCUUUGCAAGUUGUUGAAUUUUUGUCUCACCACAAACUCAACCAGAGACGACUACAGAUCAACUACUCAAAGGAAGCCAUGCUGAUGAUAAACCACUGAACCAACUCAAAAUUAGAGAAUUCAAGAUGGUACAUGGUGUUCCAACUGACCAACUGAUGCUACGACCAACCAACCAAACAGACACAUGGAAACGGUGCAGCAAGAUGGAUGCCUUUGGUGACUAGGGACCAACCAAUAAACCAUACAACAAACAGAUAUGGUUUGUGAUGUUUGAGGGGACUGUGACCAAAACCUGAUUAGAGGACAGAAUGUGGUGAAGCAAAAAUUUGAUAAUUUGUAAAGGCAGCAUGAAUUGAAAAUUUAAAAAGCAACACAGAAUGAGGUAAUUUUUAGCAUAGUUUCUAUACAUGUAUUUCUUUGCAAGUUGUUGAAUUUUUGUCUCACCACAAACUCCACCAGAGACAACUACAGAUCAACUACUCAAAAGAAGCCAUGCUGACUAGCAAGCACUGAACCAACUCAAAAUUUAGAGAAUUCAAGAUGGUACAUGGUGUUCCAACUGACAAACUGAUGCUACAACCAACCAACCGAACAGACACAUGGAAAUGGUGCAGCAAGAUGGAUGCCUUUGGUGACUAGGGACCAACCAAUAAACCAGACAACAAACAUAUAUGGUGUGUGAUGUGUGAGGGGACUGUGACCAAAACCUGAUUAGAGGACAGAAUGUGGUGAAGCAAAAAUUUAAUAAUUUGUAAAGGCAGCAUGAAUUGAAAAUUUAAAAAGCAACACAGAAUGAGGUAAUUUUUAGCAUAGUUUCUAUACAUGUAUUUCUUUGCAAGUUGUUGAAUUUUUGUCUCACCACAAACUCCAUCAGAGACGACUACAGAUCAACUACUCAAAAGAAGCCAUGCUGACGAUCAACCACUGAACCAACUCAAAAUUAGAGAAUUCAAGAUGGUACAUGGUGUUCCAACUGACCAACUGAUGCUACAACCAACCAACCAACCAAACAGACACAUGGAAAUGGUGCAGCAAGAUGGAUGCCUUUGGUGACUAGGGACCAGCCAAUAAACCAGACAACAAACAGAUAUGGUGUGUGAUGUGUGAGGGGACUGUGACCAAAACCUGAUUAGAGGACAGAAUGUGGUGAAGCAAAAAUUAGAUAAUUUGUAAAGGCAGCAUGAAUUGAAAAUUUAAAAAGCAACACAGAAUGAGGUAAUUUUUAGCAUAGUUUCUUUACAUGUAUUUCUUUGCAAGUUGUUGAAUUUUUGUCUCACCACAAACUCCAUCAGAGACGACUACAGAUCAACUACUCAAAAGAAGCCAUGCUGACGAUCAACCACUGAACCAACUCAAAAUUAGAGAAUUCAAGAUGGUACAUGGUGUUCCAACUGACCAACUGAUGCUACAACCAACCAACCAAACAGACACAUGGAAAUGGUGCAGCAAGAUGGAUGCCUUUGGUGACUAGGGACCAACCGAUAAACCAGACAACAAACAGAUAUGGUGUGUGAUGUGUGAGGGGACUGUGACCAAAACCUGAUUAGAGGACAGAAUGUGGUGAAGCAAAAAUUUGAUAAUUUGUAAAGGCAGCAUGAAUUGAAAAUUUAAAAAGCAACACAGAAUGAGGUAAUUUUUAGCAUAGUUUCUAUACAUGUUUUUCUUUGCAAGUUGUUGAAUUUUUGUCUCACCACAAACUCCACCAGAGACAACUACAGAUCAACUACUCAAAAGAAGCCAUGCUGACUAGCAAGCACUGAACCAACUCAAAAUUUAGAGAAUUCAAGAUGGUACAUGGUGUUCCAACUGACAAACUGAUGCUACAACCAACCAACCGAACAGACACAUGGAAAUGGUGCAGCAAGAUGGAUGCCUUUGGUGACUAGGGACCAACCAAUAAACCAGACAACAAACAUAUAUGGUGUGUGAUGUGUGAGGGGACUGUGACCAAAACCUGAUUAGAGGACAGAAUGUGGUGAAGCAAAAAUUUAAUAAUUUGUAAAGGCAGCAUGAAUUGAAAAUUUAAAAAGCAACACAGAAUGAGGUAAUUUUUAGCAUAGUUUCUCUACAUGUAUUUCUUUGCAAGUUGUUGAAUUUUUGUCUCACCACAAACUCCAUCAGAGACGACUACAGAUCAACUACUCAAAAGAAGCCAUGCUGACGAUCAACCACUGAACCAACUCAAAAUUAGAGAAUUCAAGAUGGUACAUGGUGUUCCAACUGACCAACUGAUGCUACAACCAACCAACCAAACAGACACAUGGAAAUGGUGCAGCAAGAUGGAUGCCUUUGGUGACUAGGGACCAACCGAUAAACCACACAACAAACAGAUAUGGUGUGUGAUGUGUGAGGGGACUGUGACCAAAACCUGAUUAGAGGACAGAAUGUGGUGAAGCAAAAAUUUGAUAAUUUGUAAAGGCAGCAUGAAUUGAAAAUUUAAAAAGCAACACAGAAUGAGGUAAUUUUUAGCAUAGUUUCUAUACAUGUUUUUCUUUGCAAGUUGUUGAAUUUUUGUCUCACCACAAACUCCACCAGAGACAACUACAGAUCAACUACUCAAAAGAAGCCAUGCUGACUAGCAAGCACUGAACCAACUCAAAAUUUAGAGAAUUCAAGAUGGUACAUGGUGUUCCAACUGACAAACUGAUGCUACAACCAACCAACCGAACAGACACAUGGAAAUGGUGCAGCAAGAUGGAUGCCUUUGGUGACUAGGGACCAACCAAUAAACCAGACAACAAACAUAUAUGGUGUGUGAUGUGUGAGGGGACUGUGACCAAAACCUGAUUAGAGGACAGAAUGUGGUGAAGCAAAAAUUUAAUAAUUUGUAAAGGCAGCAUGAAUUGAAAAUUUAAAAAGCAACACAGAAUGAGGUAAUUUUUAGCAUAGUUUCUUUACAUGUAUUUCUUUGCAAGUGAUUGAAUUUUUGUCUCACCACAAACUCAACCAGAGACGACUACAGAUCAACUACUCAAAGGAAGCCAUGCUGAUGAUAAACCACUGAACCAACUCAAAAUUAGAGAAUUCAAGAUGGUACAUGGUGUUCCAACUGACCAACUGAUGCUACAACCAACCAACCAAACAGACACAUGGAAACGGUGCUGCAAGAUGGAUGCCUUUGGUGACUAGGGACCAACAAAUAUGGUGUGUGAUGUGUGAGGGGACUGUGACCAAAACCUGAUUAGAGGACAGAAUGUGGUGAAGCAAAAAUUUAAUAAUUUGUAAAGGCAGCAUGAAUUGAAAAUUUAAAAUGCAAUACAGAAUGAUGUAAUUUUUAGCAUAGUUUCUUUACAUGUAUUUCUUUGCAAGUUGUUGAAUUUUUGUCUCACCACAAACUCCACCAGAGACGGCUACAGAUCAACUACUCAAAGGAAGCCAUGCUGAUGAUAAACCACUGAACCAACUCAAAAUUAGAGAAUUCAAGAUGGUACAUGGUGUUCCAACUGACCAACUGAUGCUAUGACCAACCAACCAAACAGACUUAUGGAAAUGGUGCAGCAAGAUGGAUGCCUUUGGUGACUAGGGACCAACUGAUGGACCAACCAAUAAACUAGACAACAAACAGAUAUGGUGUGUGAUGUGUGAGGGGACUGUGACCAAAACCUGAUUAGAGGACAGAAUGUGGUGAAGCAAAAAUUUGAUAAUUUGUAAAGGCAGCCUGAAUUGAAAAUUUAAAAAGCAACACAGAAUGAGGUAAUUUUUAGCAUAGUUUCUUUACAUGUAUUUCUUUGCAAGUUGUUGAAUUUUUGUCUCACCACAAACUCCAUCAGAGACGACUACAGAUCAACUACUCAAAAGAAGCCAUGCUGACGAUCAACCACUGAACAAACUCAAAAUUAGAGAAUUCAAGAUGGUACAUGGUGUUCCAACUGACCAACUGAUGCUACAACCAACCAACCAAACAGACACAUGGAAAUGGUGCAGCAAGAUGGAUGCCUUUGGUGACUAGGGACCAACCGAUAAACCAGACAACAAACAGAUAUGGUGUGUGAUGUGUGAGGGGACUGUGACCAAAACCGGAUUAGAGGACAGAAUGUGGUGAAGCAAAAAUUUGAUAAUUUGUAAAGGCAGCAUGAAUUGAAAAUUUAAAAAGCAACACAGAAUGAGGUAAUUUUUAGCAUAGUUUUAUACAUGUUUUUCUUUGCAAGUUGUUGAAUUUUUGUCUCACCACAAACUCCACCAGAGACAACUACAGAUCAGCUACUCAAAAGAAGCCAUGCUGACUAGCAAGCACUGAACCAACUCAAAAUUAGAGAAUUUAAGAUGGUACAUGGUGUUCCAACUGACCAACUGAUGCUACAACCAACCAACCAAACAGACACAUGGAAACGGUGCAGGAAGAUGGAUGCCUUUGGUGACUAGGGACCAACAGAUGAACCAGACAACAAACAGAUAUGGUGUGUGAUGUGUGAGGGGACUGUGACCAAAACCUGAUUAGAGGACAGAAUGUGGUGAAGCAAAAAUUCGAUAAUUGGUAAAGGCAGCAUGAAUUGAAAAUUUAAAAAGCAACACAGAAUGAAGUAAUUUUUAGCAUAGUUUCUUUACAUGUAUUUCUUUGCAAGUUGUUGAAUUUUUGUCUCACCACAAACUCAACCAGAGACGACUACAGAUCAACUACUCAAAGGAAGCCAUGCUGAUGAUAAACCACUCAACCAACUCAAAAUUAGAGAAUUCAAGAUGGUACAUGGUGUUCCAACUGACCAACUGAUGCUACAACCAACCAACCAACCAAACAGACACAUGGAAACGGUGCAGCAAGAUGGAUGCCUUUGGUGACUAGGGACCAGCCAAUAAACCAGACAACAAACAGAUAUGGUGUGUGAUGUGUGAGGGGACUGUGACCAAAACCUGAUUAGAGGACAGAAUGUGGUGAAGCAAAAAUUUGAUAAUUUGUAAAGGCAGCAUGAAUUGAAAAUUUAAAAAGCAACACAGAAUGAGGUAAUUUUUAGCAUAGUUUCUUUACAUGUAUUUCUUUGCAAGUUGUUGAAUUUUUGUCUCACCACAAACUCCAUCAGAGACGACUACAGAUCAACUACUCAAAAGAAGCCAUGCUGACGAUCAACCACUGAACCAACUCAAAAUUAGAGAAUUUAAGAUGGUACAUGGUGUUCCAACUGACCAACUGAUGCUACAACCAACCAACCAAACAGACACAUGGAAACGGUGCAGCAAGAUGGAUGCCUUUGGUGACUAGGGACCAACAGAUAAACCAGACAACAAACAGAUAUGGUGUGUGAUGUGUGAGGGGACUGUGACCAAAACCUGAUUAGAGGACAGAACGUGGUGAAGCAAAAAUUUAAUAAUUUGUAAAGGCAGCAUGAAUUGAAAAUUUAAAAUGCAAUACAGAAUGAUGUAAUUUUUAGCAUAGUUUCUUUACAUGUAUUUCUUUGCAAGUUGUUGAAUUUUUGUCUCGCCACAAAAUCCACCAGAGACGGCUACAGAUCAACUACUCAAAGAAAGCCAUGCUGAUGAUAAACCACUGAACCAACUCAAAAUUAGAGAAUUCAAGAUGGUACAUGGUGUUCCAACUGACCAACUGAUGCUAUGACCAACCAACCAACCAAACUUAUGGAAAUGGUGCAGCAAGAUGGAUGCCUUUGGUGACUAGGGACCAACUGAUGGACCAACCAAUAAACUAGACAACAAACAGAUAUGGUGUGUGAUGUGUGAGGGGACUGUGACCAAAACCUGAUUAGAGAACAGAAUGUGGUGAAGCAAAAAAUUGAUAAUUUGUAAAGGCAGCAUGAAUUGAAAAUUUAAAAAGCAACACAGAAUGAGGUAAUUUUUAGCAUAGUUUCUUUACAUGUAUUUCUUUGCAAGUUGUUGAAUUUUUGUCUCACCACAAACUCCAUCAGAGACGACUACAGAUCAACUACUCAAAAGAAGCCAUGCUGACGAUCAACCACUGAACCAACUCAAAAUUAGAGAAUUCAAGAUGGUACAUGGUGUUCCAACUGACCAACUGAUGCUACAACCAACCAACCAAACAGACACAUGGAAAUGGUGCAGCAAGAUGGAUGCCUUUGGUGACUAGGGACCAACCGAUAAACCAGACAACAAACAGAUAUGGUGUGUGAUGUGUGAGGGGACUGUGACCAAAACCUGAUUAGAGGACAGAAUGUGGUGAAGCAAAAAUUUGAUAAUUUGUAAAGGCAGCAUGAAUUGAAAAUUUAAAAAGCAACACAGAAUGAGGUAAUUUUUAGCAUAGUUUCUUUACAUGUAUUUCUUUGCAAGUUGUUGAAUUUUUGUCUCACCACAAACUCCAUCAGAGACGACUACAGAUCAACUACUCAAAAGAAGCCAUGCUGACGAUCAACCACUGAACCAACUCAAAAUUAGAGAAUUUAAGAUGGUACAUGGUGUUCCAACUGACCAACUGAUGCUACAACCAACCAACCAAACAGACACAUGGAAACGGUGCAGCAAGAUGGAUGCCUUUGGUGACUAGGGACCAACCGAUAAACCAGACAACAAACAGAUAUGGUGUGUGAUGUGUGAGGGGACUGUGACCAAAACCUGAUUAGAGGACAGAACGUGGUGAAGCAAAAAUUUAAUAAUUUGUAAAGGCAGCAUGAAUUGAAAAUUUAAAAUGCAAUACAGAAUGAUGUAAUUUUUAGCAUAGUUUCUUUACAUGUAUUUCUUUGCAAGUUGUUGAAUUUUUGUCUCGCCACAAAAUCCACCAGAGACGGCUACAGAUCAACUACUCAAAGAAAGCCAUGCUGAUGAUAAACCACUGAACCAACUCAAAAUUAGAGAAUUCAAGAUGGUACAUGGUGUUCCAACUGACCAACUGAUGCUAUGACCAACCAACCAAACAGACUUAUGGAAAUGGUGCAACAAGAUGGAUGCCUUUGGUGACUAGGGACCAACUGAUGGACCAACCAAUAAACUAGACAACAAACAGAUAUGGUGUGUGAUGUGUGAGGGGACUGUGACCAAAACCUGAUUAGAGAACAGAAUGUGGUGAAGCAAAAAAUUGAUAAUUUGUAAAGGCAGCAUGAAUUGAAAAUUUAAAAAGCAACACAGAAUGAGGUAAUUUUUAGCAUAGUUUCUUUACAUGUAUUUCUUUGCAAGUUGUUGAAUUUUUGUCUCACCACAAACUCCAUCAGAGACGACUACAGAUCAACUACUCAAAAGAAGCCAUGCUGACGAUCAACCACUGAACCAACUCAAAAUUAGAGAAUUCAAGAUGGUACAUGGUGUUCCAACUGACCAACUGAUGCUACAACCAACCAACCAAACAGACACAUGGAAAUGGUGCAGCAAGAUGGAUGCCUUUGGUGACUAGGGACCAACCGAUAAACCAGACAACAAACAGAUAUGGUGUGUGAUGUGUGAGGGGACUGUGACCAAAACCUGAUUAGAGGACAGAAUGUGGUGAAGCAAAAAUUUGAUAAUUUGUAAAGGCAGCAUGAAUUGAAAAUUUAAAAAGCAACACAGAAUGAGGUAAUUUUUAGCAUAGUUUCUAUACAUGUUUUUCUUUGCAAGUUGUUGAAUUUUUGUCUCACCACAAACUCCACCAGAGACAACUACAGAUCAACUACUCAAAAGAAGCCAUGCUGACGAUCAACCACUGAACCAACUCAAAAUUAGAGAAUUCAAGAUGGUACAUGGUGUUCCAACUGACCAACUGAUGCUACAACCAACCAACCAAACAGACACAUGGAAACGGUGCAGCAAGAUGGAUGCCUUUGGUGACUAGGGACCAACAGAUAAACCAGACAACAAACAGAUAUGGUGUGUGAUGUGUGAGGGGACUGUGACCAAAACCUGAUUAGAGGACAGAACGUGGUGAAGCAAAAAUUUAAUAAUUUGUAAAGGCAGCAUGAAUUGAAAAUUUAAAAUGCAAUACAGAAUGAGGUAAUUUUUAGCAUAGUUUCUUUACAUGUAUUUCUUUGCAAUUGUUGAAUUUUUGUCUCACCACAAACUCCACCAGAGACGGCUACAGAUCAACUACUCAAAGGAAGCCAUGCUGAUGAUAAACCACUGAACCAACUCAAAAUUAGAGAAUUCAAGAUGGUACAUGGUGUUCCAACUGACCAAGUGAUGCUAUGACCAACCAACCAAACAGACUUAUGGAAAUGGUGCAGCAAGAUGGAUGCCUUUGGUGACUAGGGACCAACUGAUGGACCAACCAAUAAACUAGACAACAAACAGAUAUGGUGUGUGAUGUGUGAGGGGACUGUGACCAAAACCUGAUUAGAGGACAGAAUGUGGUGAAGCAAAAAUUUGAUAAUUUGUAAAGGCAGCAUGAAUUGAAAAUUUAAAAAGCAACACAGAAUGAGGUAAUUUUUAGCAUAGUUUCUUUACAUGUAUUUCUUUGCAAGUUGUUGAAUUUUUGUCUCACCACAAACUCCAUCAGAGACGACUACAGAUCAACUACUCAAAAGAAGCCUUGCUGACGAUCAACCACUGAACCAACUCAAAAUUAGAGAAUUCAAGAUGGUACAUGGUGUUCCAACUGACCAACUGAUGCUACUACCAACCAACCAAACAGACACAUGGAAACGGUGCAGCAAGAUGGAUGCCUUUGGUGACUAGGGACCAACCGAUAAACCAGACAACAAACAGAUAUGGUGUGUGAUGUGUGAGGGGACUGUGACCAAAACCUGAUUAGAGGACAGAAUGUGGUGAAGCAAAAAUUUGAUAAUUUGUAAAGGCAGCAUGAAUUGAAAAUUUAAAAAGCAACACAGAAUGAGGUAAUUUUUAGCAUAGUUUCUAUACAUGUUUUUCUUUGCAAGUUGUUGAAUUUUUGUCUCACCACAAACUCCACCAGAGACAACUACAGAUCAACUACUCAAAAGAAGCCAUGCUGACCUGCAAGCACUGAACCAACUCAAAAUUAGAGAAUUUAAAAUGGUACAUGGUGUUCCAACUGACCAACUGAUGCUACAACCAACCAACCAAACAAACAGACACAUGGAAACGGUGCAGCAAGAUGGAUGCCUUUGGUGACUAGGGACCAACUGAUAAACCAAACAACAAACAGAUAUGGUGUGUGAUGUGUGAGGGGACUGUGACCAAAACCUGAUUAGAGGACAGAAUGUGGUGAAGCAAAAAUUUGAUAAUUUGUAAAGGCAGCAUGAAUUGAAAAUUUAAAAAGCAACACAGAAUGAGGUAAUUUUUAGCAUAGUUUCUUUACAUGUAUUUCUUUGCAAGUUGUUGAAUUUUUGUCUCAUCACAAACUCAACCAGAGACGACUACAGAUCAACUACUCAAAAGAAGCCAUGCUGAUGAUAAACCACUGAACCAACUCAAAAUUAGAGAAUUCAAGAUGGUACAUGGUGUUCCAACUAACCAACUGAUGCUACGACCAAGCAACCAAACAGACACAUGGAAAUGGUGCAGCAAGAUGGAUGCCUUUGGUGACUAGGGACCAACUGAUGGACCAACCAAUAAACCAGACAACAAACAGAUAUGGUGUGUGAUGUGUGAGGGGACUGUGACCAAAACCUGAUUAGAGGACAGAACGUGGUGAAGCAAAAAUUUAAUAAUUUGUAAAGGCAGCAUGAAUUGAAAAUUUAAAAUGCAAUACAGAAUGAGGUAAUUUUUAGCAUAGUUUCUUUACAUGUAUUUCUUUGCAAGUUGUUGAAUUUUUGUCUCAUCACAAACUCAACCAGAGACGACUACAGAUCAACUACUCAAAAGAAGCCAUGCUGAUGAUAAACCACUGAACCAACUCUAAAUUAGAGAAUUCAAGAUGGUACAUGGUGUUCCAACUGACCAACUGAUGCUACAACCAACCAACCAAACAGACACAUGGAAAUGGUGCAGCAAGAUGGAUGCCUUUGGUGACUAGGGACCAACCGAUAAACCAGACAACAAACAGAUAUGGUGUGUGAUGUGUGAGGGGACUGUGACCAAAACCUGAUUAGAGGACAGAAUGUGGUGAAGCAAAAAUUUGAUAAUUUGUAAAGGCAGCAUGAAUUGAAAAUUUAAAAAGCAACACAGAAUGAGGUAAUUUUGAGCAUAGUUUCUCUACAUGUAUUUCUUUGCAAGUUGUUGAAUUUUUGUCUCGCCACAAACUCCACCAGAGACGACUACAGAUCAACUACUCAAAAGAAGCCAUCUGCCUAGCAACCACUGAACCAACUCAAAAUCAGAGAAUUCAAGAUGGUACAUGGUGUUCCAACUGACCAACUGAUGCUACAACCAACCAACCAAACAGACACAUGGAAAUGGUGCAGCAAGAUGGAUGACUUCGGUGACUAGGAACUAACUGAUGAACCUACCAAUUAAGCAGACAGAUAUGUCUGGUUGCACUUGGAUGAGAUCAGACGUUUCAACAUGUCCAUUUUGCCCUUGCAUGGAUUUUUCCAUUGAUGAUAGCUACAUCUUUCCUCGUACAUGGACUAGGUGAACAGACUGGUUACAGUUAAUUUAUGGCUAUAACUAAGAAGUACUGUGUUAAUAACAGUUGACAGCAUUUAAUCAGACAUUCCAUCUAAUAAUAUGAACACAAAAAACACAGAACUCCAAUUUUUAUGUUGAUAUUUUUGGGAAGAUUGUGUAUUGAUUAUAAACUUAUGAAGGAUUACUGUGUAUUGUUUAUAAGCAAAUGAAGAAUAAAUCAAUGUUCUGUUUUAUAAUGGUGUUAUGAUGUUUAAUAAUAGUUAAAACUCUUAAUACCUCUCAUAAAACUAAGAGGGAUAUUAAAACUUCUGAAAGUAAUACUAUAUUUAAAAUAAAUACACAAUUAUUUUACAUGGGUUGCCUACUCAAAUAUUUGUUUAAGGGAAAUGAACACGAUAUUUUUUCAAUACACAAAAUUGGAUUGUUGCAAUAUAAUGUUGAGCUUGUUUCAUUAUGAAAUCAUAAUUGUAUACUUCGACACACACACAAAAUGUAUGUCUAACCUAUUAUGGGCUAUAACUCAAUAGGCUUUUGAUAUCUGAAAAAAACAACUGCAUGCUCUUACCAAACUUUGAAUAAAAGGAUGGUAUCUGGUAUACAUUAAUGAGAUGGCAACCCAACAACACAAAAUACAAGAGAUCAGCACACAUUCUUCAACAAUAGACAAAUACCUGAACAAUAUGACAAGAUCUUAAUUGCCCAAGCAGGGCCUAAUCUAGGAUUUUGGAGAGGGAGAAGUGACUUCUCCUUCCAUGAGAGAGAAUGGAGAAGUGAGAUUCCAUUACCGUUUCGGUUGCAUAGUGUUCUCGUGCUUAUCACUAAGGAAAUUGUUUUAUAUGCAAUAAAAAAUAUACUUGCAGUUUUUUUCAUGUUAUUGUACAAAAUGUAUAUAAAGAAAGUUCUUAACAAAAAGGUUUAGACAAUAUAGUUGUUAUUUAUUCAUUGAUACCAUUUGUACUGUCAACUUGAAUUUAAGUUUAAAUAAAAGUUGUUGCUUGGGACAUGAGGGAGUCUCGAGGGAGUAGCCUAGUAAUAUUAUGAUGCAUUAAAUUCAUGUGCAUCUGCCUCAAUUUAUUUUUAAAUGUCCAGAAAAAUAUGACUCCCAGUUUACCUGAUGAAUUUCACAUGACUGGGAAUUUAAUUUAUAUCACCACUUUGUCAUUAUUUUGUAAAACAUUAUUGUAUGUCCAGGACAUCAUAUUACAUGUAGUUGUAAAUUGAGAUUCUUGUUAAAGAUUGUAAGCCUAUAAAUGAAAAUAUCUGUCAAUCACAUAUUAAUUAACCGAUAAACAGCUAAUUUCUAUCAUUUUUUAAAGAUAUCUUCCCUAUCAACGAAAUGGUCUUGAAAAAAAAUCCACUGCUGAUAACAGCUGGUCGAGUGUCGUACGUUUGCAAUCACAUUAUCUAUCAGCUGUCUUUCUACCUUUUAUAUUUCAAUUUUUAUUCAAUGAAUAUAAUAAAUCUACCGUUAAUUCCCACCCUUUACCUACCGAAUAGUACAAUUUGAUCUACUCGUAAUAAAUAAAAAUAAAACAAAUCAGCUGAGUGAUUACGCAACAUCCUCAGAUAAAAAUCAUCGUAAAAUGAUAACUUCAACAGUUUUCCGUUUGAAUAGUUUUUAUACGACCGCAAAAAAAUUUUUGUGGUCGUAUAUUGGUAUGACGUUGGCGUCGUCGUCGUCCGAAGACACAUUGGUUUUCGCACUUAACUUUAGUUUAAGUGAAUGGAUCUUUAUGAAAUUUUACCACAAGGUUCAAUACCACAAAAGGAAGGUUGGGAUUGAUUUUGGGGGUUAUGGUAAUAACAGUAAAGGAAUUAGGGGUCAAAAAGGGGCCAAAAAUAAGCAUUUUUGUAACUUCCAGACAUAACUUGUGUGUUAGUGUAUGGAUCUCUCUGACAUUGUACCACAAGGUUCCAUAUCACUAAAGGAAUGCUGGGAUUGAUUUUGGGGGUAAUUGCCUCCAAAUUUUAGGAAUUGGGGGCCAAAAAAGGGGCAAAAAACAAGCAUUUUUCUAGUUUCAUGACAAUAACUUGAGUGUAAGUGUAUGGAUCUUUCUGAAAUUGUACUACAAGGUUCUAUAUCACAAAGGGAAAGCUGGAAUUGAGUUUGGGGGUAAUUGCCCAAAACGUUUAGGAAUAAGGGGCCAAAAAUAAGCAUUUUUCUAGUUUCCAGACAAUAACUUGUGUUCAAGUGUAUGGAUCUCUCUGAAAUUGUACUGCAAGGUACCAUACCACAAAGGGAAGGCUGGGAUUGAUUUUGGGGGUAAUUGCCUCAAAAUUUUAGGAAUAAGGGGCCAAAAAGGGGCAAAAAAAUGCAUUUUUAUAGUUUCAGGACAAUAACUUGUGUGUAAGUGUAUGGAUCUUUAUGAAAUUGUACUACAAGGUUCCAUAUCACAAAGGGAAUGCUGGGAUUGAUUUUGGGGGUAAUUGCCUCAAAAUUUUAGGAAUUUGGGGCCAAAAAGGGGCCAAAAAAACAAGCAUUUUUCUAGUUUCCAGACAAUAACUUGUGUUCAAGUGUAUGGAUCUCUCUGAAAUUGUACUGCAAGGUACCAUACCAUAAAGGGAAGGCUGGGAUUGAGUUUGGGGGUGAUGAAUCAUAA